AACGAACGCUGGCGGCAUGCCUAACACAUGCAAGUCGAACGAGACCUUCGGGUCUAGUGGCGCACGGGUGCGUAACGCGUGGGAACCUGCCCUUAGGUUCGGAAUAACUCCCCGAAAGGGGUGCUAAUACCGGAUAAUGUCUUCGGACCAAAGAUUUAUCGCCUUUGGAUGUGCCCGCGUUGGAUUAGCUAGUUGGUAGGGUAAGAGACUACCAAGGCGACGAUCCAUAGCUGGUCUGAGAGAAUGAUCAGCCACACUUGGACUAGGACACGGCCCGGACUCCUACGCGAGGCAGCAGUGGGGAAUAUUGGACAAUGGGCGGAAGCCUGAUCCAGCAAUGCCGCGUGAGUGAUGAAGUCCUUAGGGUUGUAAAGCUCUUUUACCCGGGAUGAUAAUGACAGUACCGAGAGAAUAAGCUCCGGCUAACUCCGUG
RNAcentral lists this ribosomal RNA (433 nucleotides) under uncultured bacterium. RNAcentral describes it as "partial 16S ribosomal RNA". It matches the Rfam family "Bacterial small subunit ribosomal RNA", at positions 29 to 507 of the family's 1533-position model. The record is from RNAcentral.